This is a long non-coding RNA of Trifolium pratense (red clover), 98 nucleotides long. RefSeq lists it as uncharacterized. The record is from RefSeq and is a predicted model, not a curated record. The transcript has 2 exons. NCBI's taxonomy places the organism in Eukaryota, Viridiplantae, Streptophyta, Magnoliopsida, Fabales, Fabaceae.
UUGUAGCUAGUUCAGUCACAUUGUAAUGUUGGAAUCAUGUAAGGUUACUACUUUGCUAGUAGAUCACAAUUAGUAAUAUAAUAUUAGCAGGAAACUAA